Molecule: ribosomal RNA, 500 nt
Filed under: uncultured Glomeromycotina
Lineage: Eukaryota; Fungi; Glomeromycota
Description: partial small subunit ribosomal RNA
Rfam family: Eukaryotic small subunit ribosomal RNA
Source: RNAcentral
CCAAUAGCGUAUAUUAAAGUUGUUGCAGUUAAAAAGCUCGUAGUUGAAUUUCGGGGUUAGUAGGUUGGUCAUGCCUCUGGUAUGUACUGGUCUCACUGAUUCCUCCUUCCUGAUGAACCGUAAUGCCAUUAAUUUGGUGUUGCGGGGAAUUUGGACUGUUACUUUGAAAAAAUUAGAGUGUUUCAAGCGAGCUAACGCUUGAAUACAUUAGCAUGGAAUAAUGAAAUAGGACGUUCGAUCCUAUUUUGUUGGUUUCUAGGAUUGACGUAAUGAUUAAUAGGGAUAGUUGGGGGCAUUAGUAUUCAAUUGUAAGAGGUGAAAUUCUUGGAUUUAUUGAAGACUAACUACUGCGAAAGCAUUUGCCAAGGAUGUUUUCAUUAAUCAAGAACGAAAGGUAGGGGAUCGAAGACGAUCAGAUACCGUCGUAGUCUUAACCAUAAACUAUGCCGACUAGGGAUCGGAUGAUGUUAAUUUUUUAAUGACUCAUUCGGCGCCUUACG